UUUCUCUGUGAUGGGUUUCCUAGUCAUUUUUCAGUCAUUUCCUAGUCAUUUGUCCAGUUGCUGGAAUUUCAUGCUGCUAAAAGCAAAUUCGUGUACAGAUCCAGUACAACGUGAGAAUCUUGGCCAGUCAACAUCUGACCUGACCUGUUCAGAGCCUUCCUCUAUGGAAAUGCAGAAAGUAAAAGAGCCACUUCCUAACCACUAUUGCUUCUCGGGAGCAUAGGACUCAGAUAAAGUUCAACAUUGUUGAGUCAACAGGAAAAACCUUGAAAGUCAGGCCUUUGGUGGAUGUACGGAGAUCGGGGAAGGAUAUAUGUGAGAGAAAGAAAUAUUGUUCCAUUGAUCAAGGUAUCUCCUUCCUUCUCACUAAAG
Non-coding RNA from Delphinapterus leucas (beluga whale), 372 nucleotides. The record is from RefSeq and is a predicted model, not a curated record. NCBI's taxonomy places the organism in Eukaryota, Metazoa, Chordata, Mammalia, Artiodactyla, Monodontidae.